Molecule: ribosomal RNA, 253 nt
Filed under: uncultured Acidobacteriota bacterium
Lineage: Bacteria; Pseudomonadati; Acidobacteriota
Description: uncultured Acidobacteria bacterium partial 16S ribosomal RNA
Rfam family: Bacterial small subunit ribosomal RNA
Source: RNAcentral
UACAGAGGGGGCAAGCGUUGUUCGGAAUUACUGGGCGUAAAGGGCGCGUAGGCGGCCGACUAAGUCAGACGUGAAAUCCCACGGCUCAACCGUGGAACUGCGUCUGAUACUGAUUGGCUUGAGUCCGGGAGAGGGAUGUGGAAUUCCAGGUGUAGCGGUGAAAUGCGUAGAUAUCUGGAGGAACACCGGUGGCGAAGGCGGCAUCCUGGACCGGCACUGACGCUGAUGCGCGAAAGCCAGGGGAGCAAACGGG